This is a long non-coding RNA of Cyclopterus lumpus (lumpfish), 1702 nucleotides long. The record is from Ensembl. NCBI's taxonomy places the organism in Eukaryota, Metazoa, Chordata, Actinopteri, Perciformes, Cyclopteridae.
GGGGGUCAACGAGUUGGCAGCUGGAUGUUGGUAUUUUAUUGGAUUUGUUGACAAGAACAAUACUGAAUCCUCUAACACGAGGGCUGAAAGCAGCUCCUUCUCUUAUAAACUAAAUGAUGUGAGAGUCUCAACUAAUAUCGGUUUGUUUGCGAUCUGGGUUUGAAUGUUUCGCUCCACUGUGGGUUAAAACUGUGACCUCGUGCUGAUGCUCGGCCAUGACUUGAAUUGUCGAGUAACCUCAUAUCUGAUAACAGUAAUGGUUUUCACGAGCCUGCAGACUGUACCAUAAUAACCAGUGACUCACCGUCGUCUGACAAUAUGAAUGACUAAUCCACCUUUCGUAAUUCUUAUUAUAAUGACUGUGUUUUUCUCAAACUGUGAAAUCGAGAAUGUAAUAAUGACCUCGUCAUUUUCAUGCAAUGAAAUAACAUAACGUGUCUCCGCGUGUUUGAUUUCAAGCCACAAAUGUUUACAGAAAGACCCUCAAAAUUCAGUUGAAGAGAGGUAAAAAAAAAAAAAAAAGAGUAGUGUAAGACCACGGUGCUCAGAAGCAGGAAGUGAAGUAAACCACAUGCCUUUGACGUUGACACCUAGCAGACCUUCACUGAUAGUUUACAGAAGUCGUAGCUGGUUUCUUUCCCACGAUGAGACCCGACUGCUGCCCGAUUAUCCUCCGCGUGUCCAUCUUUGUGGCGCUCGUCCUCACGCUGGAUGCUGACGAUGAACAUCCAGAUUGUGAAGUUGAAGUCAAAGUCCGUCAAAACACGGUUUAUGAAGCGGUCGUGGGAGAAGAGCUUCGGAUUAACUGCACAGUUGAAUUCUGCAGCGACGCCCCGCCUCCGGUCUCCUGGUACAAAUGUGGGACGACUGACGUCCGUGUCAGCGUCAGCGGUCACAUUAAAACUGAGUGGAAACCUUUAAAGUCUUUCGUGGGGACAACGUUUUUGAUCUUUCUAAAGGUUCACAGAAACGACUCAGGUGUGUAUCAGUGUAAAAGUGGAGGAAGUGGCAGCCACCACAUCAACGUCUCUAUCGACAGUGAGUGACACCUUGAGAGUAAUGCAUCAAUAAUCAAUAAUAAAGGAACAUUUCCAUCUUUGUAUCAGUAAGACUUAUUAGCAUUGCAUGUGCUUUGUCUUGUAGGUGUUGGAGAGCCUGCCAAUGUUACAGAGAACAACGACACGUGUAAGUAUGAACUCUCGAGGGUUGUGCAGUAAUGCAUCCUGACUGAAGAAACCUGUGUUCUCAUAUUUCCACUGAAUCAUUUAGAAGCCUUCACUGUUUCCCAAAUAACGUGAUUGAAAUCCCUUUUGAGGGGUGGAUAAACAUUCUGAAUGCUUUUCAGGUGAUCUCACAUUGGAGACUUCCACGUUGGCUAAAGGAGCUUAAUUCACUCCCUCACAAUGACAUCGCGGUUACACAUGAAACAUUUCUUAACACAUGUCCGAAAUUGGAUGCAAAAUGUCCUCUUUUACCUUCCAGUGCCUGAGGACCACUUCUGGCCCUUCAUUUUCCGUGCUGUCGGGCUCGCCGUGUUUGUCGUCAUCAUAUUCGUUGUAUGUGUUGCGUCGUGCUGCAGGUGAGAAUUAUUUGGAUUUCUACAGCAGACUUCCUGCCGGAGGUCUAAUCUGACAAACAAAACCGUAUAAAAAAGCCACAAUUAAUACACAAUACAGUACAUAUUCACUAAAAUAAGUAUGGG